This 936-nucleotide unclassified non-coding RNA is filed under the name Leishmania donovani. RNAcentral's name for it is "gene:unknown". Lineage: Eukaryota; Euglenozoa; Kinetoplastea; Trypanosomatida; Trypanosomatidae. The record is from RNAcentral.
GCUGCUGGGCACGCGUGUCCAUGCACCCUUUCCCCCCUCCCUGCGCCACCUCACACACAUCCGCCGCACACACGCCUGCUGCUUCACUGCACUGCACUGCACUGCACGCUCCCACUCCCGAUCCAUCCCUUUAUCAUUUGUCACGCCUACGACCCCCGCACUCUACUCUCUCUCUCUUUCUCUGUGUUGUGGAGGAGGGGGCGGCGGAAGCCAGGCAGCCCCUCCCUCCUCUAGCCCUGCCGAUUGCCGGACCCCACUUCUCGCUGUGGCAGGGCCGCGCGCAUGAGACUUGGGGAGGUCAGUGCGAUGCGUCGCUACUGAUGCCGGCGGUGAGGUCGUGGGUGGUGCUGCCUCGGAGCGACCUGCGACCGUGCACACGCUUGUGCCACCCAUGUGACUGGGCAGCGUGACUCGAACGCAUCCCACACCCGACCCUCACACGGCCCACUGGUGCUGCGGGGAGCCUGCGCCACUCGUGGAGAUGCACCAGGUGGCGGCCGACAUGAUGCGGCUGGCUGCGAGGCGACGUGCGAAGCGCAGGGGUGGGUGGAGGUGGAGGCAAAGGCCGCGCCGAUAUGACCUUGCCUGCAUUGUUAUCGCGCAUAUGCACACGGCUGCCUCGCGCCGCGCGGAUGGGCGUGUGUGUGUGUGUGACCGGCGGGGCAGAGUGCGGCGUUCAGCUCGUGCUGCAUGGCGGAGAAAUGGUGGCGCUGCAAAGAAAAUGUAUUGCCCUGGACAGCCUUCUUCUUCCGCCUCCCCUCCCGUCUCUCCUCCGUACCCAACUAUUCACUGCUGCUAGCUCCCUUUGCGUUGUUGGAGGCACUCCAUCAUCUUGAUGUGCGGCCGCGGUAGCGGCAUCCGCACCACUCCACCAUUUUUCUCUCUGCUUUCUCAUAUCCGUUGCACUCUCUACUACUCUUUCUGGUCUCGUACCAG